This 1502-nucleotide ribosomal RNA is filed under the name uncultured Bordetella sp. Its description in RNAcentral is "partial 16S-23S ribosomal RNA intergenic spacer". It matches the Rfam family "Bacterial small subunit ribosomal RNA". The record is from RNAcentral. Lineage: Bacteria; Pseudomonadati; Pseudomonadota; Betaproteobacteria; Burkholderiales; Alcaligenaceae.
AGUUCGAUCAUGGCUCAGAUUGAACGCUGGCGGGAUGCUUUCUUACACAUGCAAGUCGAACGGCAGCAAGAUUUCUGGUCUGUGCGACGAGUGGCGAACGGGUGAGUAAUGUAUCGGAACGCCUAGUAGCGGGGGAUAAAUUACGAAAGCGUAGCUAAUACCGCAUACGCCCUUCGGGGGGAAAGCGGGGACCUUCGGGCCUCGCACUAUUAGAGCGGCCGAUAUCGGAUUAGCUAGUUGGUGGGGUAACGGCUCACCAAGGCGACGAUCCGUAGCUGGUUUGAGAGGACGACCAGCCACACUGGGACUGAGACACGGCCCAGACUCUACGGGAGGCAGCAGGGAAUUUUGGACAAUGGGGGGAAACCCUGAUCCAGCCAUCCCCGUGCGUGUGCGCGAUGAAGGCCUUCGGGUUGUAAAGCACUUUUGGCAGGAAGAAACGGCACGUGAUAAAUACCCCGUGCAACUGACGGUACCUGCAGAAUAAGCACCGGCUAACUACGUGCCAGGCAGCCGCGGUAAUACGUAGGGUGCAAGCGUUAAUCGGAAUUACUGGGCGUAAAAGGCAAGCAGGCGGUUCGGAAAGAAAGAUGUGAAAUCCCAGAGCUUAACUUUGGAACUGCAUUUUUAACUACUACUGAGCUAGAGUGUGUCAGAGGGAGGUGGAAUUCCGCGUGUAGCAGUGAAAUGCGUAGAUGUAUGGCGGAGGAACACUGAUGGCGAAGGCAGCCUCCUGGGAUAACACUGACGCUCAUGCACGAAAGCGUGGGGAGCAAACAGGAUUAGAUAAUUCUGGUAGUCCACGCCCUAAACGAUGUCAACUAGCUGUUGGGGCCUUCGGGCUCUCGGUAGCGCAGUUAACGGGCAAAGAAGUUGACCGCCUGGGGAGUACGGUCGCAAGAUUAAAACUCAAAGGAAUUGACGGGACCCGCACAAGCGGGUGGAUGGGAUUAAUUCGAUGCAACGCGAAAAACCUUACCUACCUCGCACAUGUCUGGAAUCCUGAAGAGAUUUGGGAGCAAGCCUGCAAGAGAACCGAACACAGGUGCUGCAUGGCUGUCGUCAGCUCGUGUCGUGGAGACGUUGUUAAGUCCUGCAUAACGAGCGCAACCCCUUACAUACACAGGUUGCUACGAAAGGGCAUCAUAAUGAGGAGACUGCCGGUGACAAACGGAGGAAGGUGGGGAUGACGUCAAGUCCUCAUGGCCCUUUAUGGGUAGGGCUUCACACGUCAUACAAUGGUCGGGACAGAGGUCGCCAACCCGCGAGGGGGAGCCAAUCCAGAACCCGAUCGUAGUCCGGAUCGUGUCUGCAACUCGACUGCGUGAAGUCGGAAUCGCUAGUAAUCGCGGAUCAGCAUGUCGUGGCGUGAAUACGUUCCCGGCUCCCGUACACCGCCCGUCACACCAUGGGAGUGGGUUUUACCAGGCGGUUAGCCUAACCGUAAGGAGGGCGAUUACCACGGUAGGAUUCAUGACUGGGGUGAAGUCGUAACAAGGUAG